CUUGGUUCAGAACGAACGCUGGUGGCGUGCUUAUACAUGCAAGUCGAGCGAGGCAGCAAUGCCGAGCGGCGAACGGGUGAGUAACGCGUAAGCAAUCUGCCCCAUAUCAGGAAAUACCCGUGCCAACGCGCGGUUAAUGUCCAGGAGAGUGGCCUUCUGCAUGGAGGGUUGACUAGAGAUUUAUCGGUAUGGGAUGAGCUUGCGUCCGAUUAGCUAGUUGGCGGGGCAACGGCCCACCAAGGCGACGAUCGGUAGCCGGCCUGAGAGGGUGAUCGGCCACAUUGGGACUGAGAUACGGCCCAGACUCCUACGGGAGGCAGCAGUAGGAAUAUUGCACAUGGGGAAACCCUGAUGCAGCAACGCCACGUGUGGGAAAGAAGCAUCUCGGUGUGUAAACCACUGUCAUGAGGGAAUAAGGCCCAGUUUAGGCUGGACUUGAAUGUACCUUGAGAGGAAGCACCGGCAAACUUCGUGCCAGCAGCGGC
Molecule: ribosomal RNA, 485 nt
Filed under: uncultured bacterium
Lineage: Bacteria
Description: bacterial SSU rRNA
Rfam family: Bacterial small subunit ribosomal RNA
Source: RNAcentral